Molecule: transfer RNA, 107 nt
Organism: Claviceps purpurea 20.1
Lineage: Eukaryota; Fungi; Ascomycota; Sordariomycetes; Hypocreales; Clavicipitaceae
Rfam family: tRNA
About the family: Transfer RNA (tRNA) molecules are approximately 80 nucleotides in length. Their secondary structure includes four short double-helical elements and three loops (D, anti-codon, and T loops). Further hydrogen bonds mediate the characteristic L-shaped molecular structure. tRNAs have two regions of fundamental functional importance: the anti-codon, which is responsible for specific mRNA codon recognition, and the 3' end, to which the tRNAs corresponding amino acid is attached (by aminoacyl-tRNA synthetases). tRNAs cope with the degeneracy of the genetic code in two manners: having more than one tRNA (with a specific anti-codon) for a particular amino acid; and 'wobble' base-pairing, i.e. permitting non-standard base-pairing at the 3rd anti-codon position.
Source: Rfam
GACCGUGUGGCUCAAUGGCAGAGCGUCUGACUACGAUCCCCGUAUUGGUUUAUCAGUACGAGCUAGGUGUUAUCAGAAGGUCGCAGGUUCGACCCCUGUCUCGGUCA